This 575-nucleotide ribosomal RNA is filed under the name uncultured marine eukaryote. RNAcentral describes it as "SSU rRNA". It matches the Rfam family "Eukaryotic small subunit ribosomal RNA", at positions 613 to 1189 of the family's 1831-position model. The record is from RNAcentral.
UUGCGGUUAAAAAGCUCGUAGUUGGAUCUCGGCAAGUAGAGGGCGGUAUGCUUCGUAGCAUUACUGCCCUAUUACUUGUAGUUUUGCCAGAGGUUCCUGGGUGCUCUUAAUCGAGUGUCUAGGGAUGCUGGCAGGUUUACUUUGAAAAAAUUAGAGUGCUCAAAGCAGGCUAUUACGCUUGAAUAUUCGUGCAUGGAAUAAUAGAAUAGGAAGUUGUUUCUAUUUUGUUGGUUUUCGGAAAUCGACUUAAUGAUUAAUAGGGACAGUCGGGGGCAUUUGUAUUCAAACGACAGAGGUGAAAUUCUUGGACCGUUUGAAGACAAACUACUGCGAAAGCAUUUGCCAAGAAUGUUUUCAUUAAUCAAGAACGAAAGUUAGAGGUUCGAAGGCGAUUAGAUACCGCCCUAGUUCUAACCAUAAACGAUGCCAGCUAGCGAUCUGAGGACGUUUUUUUUGUAGACUCCUCAGGAAGCUUCCGGGAAACCAAAGCGUGUGGGUUCCGGGGGAAGUAUGGUUGCAAAGCUGAAACUUAAAGGAAUUGACGGAAGGGCACCACCAGGAGUGGAGCCUGCGGC